CGCAAGAGAACCGGAACACAGGUGCUGCAUGGCUGUCGUCAGCUCGUGUCGUGAGAUGUUGGGUUAAGUCCCGCAACGAGCGCAACCCUUGUCAUUAGUUGCUACAUUCAGUUGGGCACUCUAAUGAGACUGCCGGUGACAAGCCGGAGGAAGGUGGGAUGACGUCAAGUCCUCAUGGCCCUUAUAGGUGGGGCUACACACGUCAUACAAUGGCUGGUACAAAGGGUUGCCAACCCGCGAGGGGGAGCCAAUCCCAUAAAGCCAGUCGUAGUCCGGAUCGUAGUCUGCAACUCGACUACGUGAAGUCGGAAUCGCUAGUAAUUGUGGAUCAGAAUGUCACGGUGAAUACGUUCCCGGGUCUU
This 362-nucleotide ribosomal RNA is filed under the name uncultured Rhodoferax sp. Its description in RNAcentral is "bacterial SSU rRNA". It matches the Rfam family "Bacterial small subunit ribosomal RNA", at positions 1017 to 1382 of the family's 1533-position model. The record is from RNAcentral. Lineage: Bacteria; Pseudomonadati; Pseudomonadota; Betaproteobacteria; Burkholderiales; Comamonadaceae.